Molecule: transfer RNA, 66 nt
Filed under: pig gut metagenome
Rfam family: tRNA
About the family: Transfer RNA (tRNA) molecules are approximately 80 nucleotides in length. Their secondary structure includes four short double-helical elements and three loops (D, anti-codon, and T loops).
Source: RNAcentral
CGGUAGCUCAGUCGGUAGAGCAAAGGACUGAAAAUCCUUGUGUCGCUGGUUCAAUUCCGCCCCGCG